This is an RNA transcript of Halichondria panicea, 4542 nucleotides long. RefSeq lists it as uncharacterized. Lineage: Eukaryota; Metazoa; Porifera; Demospongiae; Suberitida; Halichondriidae. The transcript is spliced from 2 exons. The record is from RefSeq and is a predicted model, not a curated record.
UGUUUGCCUGUUAGUGUUAUAAAAUUAGGCCUAUUAUACUAUAAAUAUCGUAUGAUUUCUGUGUAUAAUUAGUGCACUGCACUGGAAUUUGUACAGUGAAGGUGCUAUAAAAGCGUAUCAUAAUAGAGUAAAGCCACAGAUUUAUCGAACACAAACGCUUUUUCUCGAGGAUAGCGGCUCAAAGCAUCUAAAUCAAUAGCACCUAAUCGGCGAGACCUAAUCUCUCGGAUUAGGAGCUAAAAAGAAAAUCUGGAGGAGGAUGCCAUCACUGUGACGGGGUCACGUUUGAAGGUGCUGUUGAAUGAUUACCGUACUUUUUCAAAAUAAUUAUAACCCCCUUAUAAUUAUGCACCGUAAAAAUCAUUAUUUUUCUUGUUCUGCACACUAGUCUCACAAAUGUAGUUAUUGAAAACGUUGCCUUAUUUAGAAGAAGUACGGUAAGUCUAGUACAAAUAUUGAGUGCAACGCAUCAAAUGUUGGGACUGGAGUGAUAUAAAGCCAAAGGCCGCAAGCCCCGUCGUUGUUACAUUGCUCCAGUGCCAAUCAUGUAUACUUACAGUGCAUUAUUGUUAAAGCCAGUAGGCUUUAACUAGGAUUUGCACCACUUUUGUAGCUUUUCGGCAUUUGCACGUACCGUAUAGCGAGUAAUUUGCAUACAUUUGAAUAUGAAUAUUCGUACAGCUCAGGAUACCGUAUAGCGGGUAAUUUUCGGGGGACAAAAUAUUCGUGGUUCAGCAAUAUUGGUUCAGCAAUAUUGAGAUAUUUCGUGGGUAAUAUUUUCGUGGUAGCUGCCUGCACUGUAGGCAAGGUCGCUUCAUUCGUGGGUAAAAUAUUCGUGGUCAGACCUCCAACCACGAAAACCACGAAUAUUUUGCCCCACGAAAAUUACACGCUAUACGGUAGUUACGUUGGACUUAUUGUGCCAGAAAAACUUUGCAGUUUUAGUUUUAGUAGGUGCUCUUCUGAUACGAAAAUACGAAAAUUUCCACCAUACGAAAUAAUCUGUUAUACUGUAUUUUCACUACUGAAUCAGUUACUGCACAUCACCCGGGUCUGGCCUAAAUGUAAUACAAUGUUGAUAUAAUUACCGUAUAGCGGGUAAUUUUCGAGGGGGAGGGGUAAAACAUUUGUGGUUGAACAAUAUUUAGUCACUUCGUGGAUAAUAUUUUCGUGGUUGCUGCUUGCCCUGCAGGUAAAGGUAGGCAAGGUCGCUUCAUUCGUGGGUGAACUAUUCGUGGCCAGAGCUUCAACCACGAAAACCGCGAAUAUUUUACCCCACGAAAGUUACCUGCUAUUACGAUAUACUGCUGUAUAAUUAUUUACAUAAAAUAAUGUUGGAUACUAUCACGCCUGCAUGACCCAGGCCUUAACUACCCAUAUUUAUGCCACGGUGUGCAUGCGCAAGCGAGGUAUACAGUAGUGUGUGUUGUCUGUGUGUUUAGACUGCUACAGCUGCUCCAGGAUAGUUCGAGUAAGAGUUUCUAUAAUAAAUUAUAGGCUUCUAGCUAGUCAGAUUUUUGUUUGUAGAUUUGCAAAAUAAUGCUUUGUUCUCGAGUUAUGCCUAGUUUUGCUUACCUGAAAUGCCAUUGCAACCUUUUCAGAAAAGUGCAUAGAAAAACUUGUCCAUAAAGUAUUGCUAUACUCUACUUAGUAGCACUAGAAUGAAUAGGUAACUGCAAGAGUGAGAAGAGAGCUUGCAAGGCUCUGCUGAUGCAGCCAUUAAUUUUUAGACUUGAACUUUUGGCAUCGAUCGUUUUUAACAACAAUCAUGGUCGAUCAUUAUCUACUCUUCGAUUUUCCCUGUGAUUCUGUAUGGAUUCUACCUGCAUGAGUAAUGCAAAAAUGUUCAUCAUGAUAAUUAUAAUGUGUUAAAAUUUUUUGCAGAAUGAUUCGUGGAUGUAAUUUUCAAGGAAUAGCAGCUUUUCUGCAGCAUGCGAUAUUAAAUUUGUGCGUAUAAAUGUUCACGGUAGAUGCUUGAUCAGCGUAAAAAUUUUCGCAGAAUGAUUCGUGGAUGUAAUUUUCAAGGAAUAGCAGCCUUUCUGCAGCAUGCGAUAUUAAAUUCGUGCGUAUAAAUGUUGGCGGUAGAUGCUUGAUCAGCGUAAACCACAAACAUUUAUACCUUUGAAAAAUACCUGCUAUUAGUAGCUUUAUGUUAUGUAGCUUUGGCACCUCCACUGAGGCAUCAGCACCUGUGGUGCUUUCAUUUGAACACUUUCAUUUGAACAGUUGCACUACUCUAUUAACAAAUAGUACUGGCAAUAGAGCGGGCACAGCUCAAUCACUAUCAAUAGUGCAAAAACUACAUUCUUGGUUAAACAGUCUCGUCCAUUUCGGGGCUACAGACAUGGUCACUUGUCCCAUAGAUUAAAGUAUGGUAUCAAAGGUCAAACGCAACAUAAUAAUUAUAUUCGAACAGUCACCAUGGAUGCGACAUCUGGACUUCAACAUAAUUAAAUUUUUCAACUUUAAAUAAUUAACCAUGGUUUCUGUGAUUAUUUACAACAAAAAGUUAAAAAACAUUUUAAACAUUUUUGUACAGUUCCAGUUCAGUUAAAGGAUUCACAGUUAAAAUGGGCCAACAGAAAUUUUUGUGAUUUUCAUUUUGGAUUCUGAUCCAGUAACUUGGCACACAGAUCCCAUGAACAGGUUUGCCGACUUGCAGUUAAGCAUCCAGGUAGUAUACCGGUUCAGGUAGUUAAGGAUAUCUAAAACCUGCUAAAGAAAAACAACAUGUGAUAAAAUAAUAGCAGCCACAAUCAGGAGUACAACAGUCCCUAAGGCCUUGCAUAUAAUUAUUGGAAGCGACCCCUACGAAUAACUAUUUUGCGGAAUUCAUGUGUACGUCUGUUAUAGCUUACUUUAUUUUCUGGGCUAGUAGGUCAAACGCAACAUAAUAAUUAUAUUCGAACAGUCACCAUGGAUGAGUGACCGAUCUUCACUCCAGGCUAGUAGGUCAAACGCAACAUAAUAAUUAUAUUCGAACAGUCACCAUGGAUGAGUGACCGAUCUUCACUCCAGGCUAGCUAUACUAGAAGACUUGCUUUAAUGGGGGUUAGUUAACCCCUGCAAUAGCGGCACAGUAUAGUUGGUAACAAAAGCGGUCUUUCAAUAUUUCUUAAGUCAAUGAUUUGAACGAGGCGGGAUCAAUUGCUUUGUUUUGUCUUGUUUCAUAACAGUGGCCUAAUAACUAUAAUUAGUCGAGUUCAUUUUAACGAACUCGUGUUUUUAUGUUACGGUUGAUACAUAUCAUGUACAUGAAUUAAAGACAAGGUAAUAACCAUCUUAAGUUGUUUAAUCUCAUCAUUUUUUCCUGAUCAAUACAGAAAAUUUUUUUUAUUGCAAACAGUGCACAAAAAGGUCAUCCUCUUUAGCAUUUGUUAACGAUCAGUAAAUAAUUGUGCAAAUAUGUGACUCCGUAUUACAUUAUUUUAUUAUACGGUCGCGUAGCCUUGGGGCAUGAUUUGGUACUCAUGCUGUAUCUACACAGUGUAACGAAUAUCGCAACCACACGCUAUAAAACGGCCUAGAGCUUAGGUCCAGAUUAAAACUUCAAUGUGGGCUUCGACCCCCACAUUUUUGAUUUUGUAUUCAGUGUACAUGCAAAAUAAGGAUUCACACAUAAUUUUAUCUUUUUGGAUCAAGAGAUCCCCCACAACAAACCGUAGCUCUGUUUCGUUUCUAAUUCUACUCGAAUAGGGAUUAUCAGAAAACAAAAGAGAUGAUAUGACUUGUAGACGGAACUUUCACAGCUGCAUGGACGCAAGUUCUAGAAAGUUGUCUUCUACCAACUUUUCUGACAAUCUGACCUAUAAAAAAUUACUUCACCAACACACUCCUCUUCAAUCAAUGUAGAUUCACCACAAUGUUUAUACACACUAUGAUAACUUUUCUUGAUGUGCCAAACUGAAAUACGCCAAAAGAUUCAAACAUCUUAUGGAGACUCCAUUUUUGUUCACUAAAUCCAUAUGUAUACGAGUAGCUAUAAGGAGAAGCUAUUGGUAUUCAGUAUUGCAUGUAGUAUAUGAAACAUGGUGACAAUCAAGUGCAAUGAUCUGUAGGUACAGCUUUAUAUAAUUAUGGCUACUGAAAAGUGAUGCCAUCAGCAUUACCAGGUUCUUGCAUCACCCCCAGUUGGGUAUUUAUGACUACAAUCCAUUAAAUGAUAAGGCUAUUUGAUCACUUGAUCAGGACUCCAAUGUUUAUAAGAUAUGUAAAGAAUCAAUGAUAAGCACAACUGAUUAAAUAGGGAAAUGAUCAUCAUUAAAUAUGUGAUUAACUAACUAGUAGUUUGUAAGUCAAUGUUCUCUAUCCAUGUAUCUUUGUUGUUGUCUCCUCUAUUUACCUCGUGGUCAUUCUAGCUAUCCCUAUGUGAAAUAGUGUGCGUAUGUAACAGGUAAUAACAUGCGUGAGAAUAUUUCUUUGUUUGACUUCCAAGACAAAUCGACAUAACCAGUUACUGCAUGUCAACCCUCAUUAGUGAAGGAACAACAAUAAUUAUAGCUGAUCAAUAUUGUUGGGACACACUAUACUUACAGAGUUCUC